UGCGCCGAACUGCGCAUGUGCAGGCAGUCUGUUUAGUCUGUUUAGUCUGUUUCACAACCAUUCCUGGAAAUCUUGCGAUGCCGCGCCUCUGGGUUUAGAAACUCUGUGAUUUGGUCUAUAAAACAGGUUGUCAGACGCCAGUCUACAUCUGGGUAGAGAAACAUCUCAUACAUUCUGAAGUAUGUGCUGUAUUUGGCUUCUAUUUUGAACAUCUAAUGGUGAUUUUUGUUUGACAUCCAUCGGCAAACUUCGAUGAUUUAAGAAAGUCAGAGACCUACAAGAUCGACAAGAGAAUGGGUGGAGAUGCAUCAAAAGAUCGAGCAGAUAACGCAGAGAGAGACCGCGAUCAAGCCAAAACUGAUAAACAGAAAGCGGAGGAGGACAAACAGAACAUGGAGAAGGAAAAGAAAAAGACAGAAGAGGAUUACAGGCAGCUCUUUGCUGAGAAAGUGAGAAUGGAAACAGAACAAAAGAUGGAAGAAAAACGAAGACAGGAGCGUGAGAAGGAAACUCUAAAAGUAAUAGAACACAAUAGACAGCGAGAGAAAAAUGAAAAGACAAGAAUUCAGCUGGAAAAUGCAAAAGGAGAUCAGAAAACUGUAUAAAAUCUAUCCACAUAUUAAGAGACAAAGGCAUAAACUGUUUAAAUUAUCCACAUAAUGAAUUAUUGGACAAGGCACACAAUCAUUGUAUACCUUUAAUAUCCACAAUUGCGCUGCCUGUUUUAUUUUCCCCAAAUGAUGUGCUUAAAGGGAUAGUUCACACAAAUGACACAGUGGUUUAAUAACCCUGUUAGCCGUUUUUGUUUACCUGGCUGCUGCCACCAAAUGCUUUUCAAACCAAUGCCUGUCAAUAUCUGAGAAUCCUCUGUAGCUUUGCAAUAAAUUGAUUCUAUUGAUG
Molecule: long non-coding RNA, 900 nt
Organism: Oncorhynchus mykiss (rainbow trout)
Lineage: Eukaryota; Metazoa; Chordata; Actinopteri; Salmoniformes; Salmonidae
Source: RefSeq, a predicted model, not a curated record